This 765-nucleotide ribosomal RNA is filed under the name Bacillus sp. AD-B12. RNAcentral describes it as "bacterial SSU rRNA". It matches the Rfam family "Bacterial small subunit ribosomal RNA", at positions 48 to 796 of the family's 1533-position model. Lineage: Bacteria; Bacillati; Bacillota; Bacilli; Caryophanales; Bacillaceae. The record is from RNAcentral.
CUAAUACAUGCAAGUCGAGCGGACAGAAGGGAGCUUGCUCCCGGAUGUUAGCGGCGGACGGGUGAGUAACACGUGGGUAACCUGCCUGUAAGACUGGGAUAACUCCGGGAAACCGGAGCUAAUACCGGAUAGUUCNUUGAACCGCAUGGUUCAAGGAUGAAAGACGGUUUCGGCUGUCACUUACAGAUGGACCCGCGGCGCAUUAGCUAGUUGGUGAGGUAACGGCUCACCAAGGCGACGAUGCGUAGCCGACCUGAGAGGGUGAUCGGCCACACUGGGACUGAGACACGGCCCAGACUCCUACGGGAGGCAGCAGUAGGGAAUCUUCCGCAAUGGACGAAAGUCUGACGGAGCAACGCCGCGUGAGUGAUGAAGGUUUUCGGAUCGUAAAGCUCUGUUGUUAGGGAAGAACAAGUGCAAGAGUAACUGCUUGCACCUUGACGGUACCUAACCAGAAAGCCACGGCUAACUACGUGCCAGCAGCCGCGGUAAUACGUAGGUGGCAAGCGUUGUCCGGAAUUAUUGGGCGUAAAGGGCUCGCAGGCGGUUUCUUAAGUCUGAUGUGAAAGCCCCCGGCUCAACCGGGGAGGGUCAUUGGAAACUGGGAAACUUGAGUGCAGAAGAGGAGAGUGGAAUUCCACGUGUAGCGGUGAAAUGCGUAGAGAUGUGGAGGAACACCAGUGGCGAAGGCGACUCUCUGGUCUGUAACUGACGCUGAGGAGCGAAAGCGUGGGGAGCGAACAGGAUUAGAUACCCUGGUAGUCC